UCAGGACAGCUGGGGCUUCUGCGGGCGUAUUUUGUUUGCUCAAAUGACUUCAAUGCCCUGAGCAGUUCCUGAAACAAAAGCUGGGUGCUCUAUAAUAUUUGAGUGAAUGAAGACAAUGUUUAAGUGCUUCAUGUAUAUUAACAUUUCAUUUUUUUGACAGUCUGUAAAGUCAGCUGAUUUGCUAUUCCUGUUUACAGAGAAGAAUACUGACAUUAUACAUAGUGGAACCAGGAUUUAAACUCAAACACUUGAACUUGUCCUCUGGCUCCAGAGCCCACGCGUUUAACAAUAACACUAUACUGCCAUUCAUUUUUAGGGACCCUGUCACUAACAAAGAGAUAGUCCCAAGGCUGAUUCAGAAGCUUAUCGUCCCAAAGUCUGUUGCCAUUUAUCUUUUUGUGGUCACUUGUUCCUAACACACUGUAGGAUUUGUUAUGCCACAGCAGAAGUCCCAGGGGCAGGAGUCACAGGUACUCACUGUCAGCGGGCAGAGCAUCCCCUCUCUCCUAAACUGGCCUAUAGAGCAGAGGUAGGGAACAAAAGAGGGACAGCCAGCCCGUCACUCAGGGCUCAUGAGGGAACGAGGCGCCGCCAGUCCUUACCCGAUCAUCUAAUUGGGUUAAGUCCUAUAGUUUCCACAAUCAAAAGAAUGAUUCUCAUGAUUCCAGAUUGCAGAAGAUCAAUAAAGACAGGACCACCAAAAGUGCCCCUGCUCACCCAACAAAAACAUUAACAUCUACCUCGCAGACCUUUUGCUAUGCCAGGCUUCUGCACUGGGUCAGCUCUGGCUUCUCCAUGGGAAUGGCUGUUCUGGUUAGAUCAUCAUAUUGUGAGAAGAAAAUGUGACUUUAUGUUGUUUAUUUUUCCUAAUCUUCCACAGCAACCAUUUGAUCUCAUUUGUGAAUCUAGUGAAAAGGAGGUUGAUGCUUCUCAAUUUUGAAUUGUCUGAUGUUUCCUCAUUACUGAACUGGAGUUGUGAAUGGUUUUUUUUAAGACUUCUACAAAGACAAAGCGUCCUUCUCACUGCAUCAUAUCAGCAGACUCCAUUCUUUGGAAGUGAGUCAUUGAGUCUAGCCCACACUAAAGAGGAAAGGAAUUAAACCUCACCUCCAGAAGGGAACGUACCUACAUGUGUUAUUUGGAAUUCCUCUCUAAAGACGAUGUGACCCUUCUCCUUAAGGUGGAUUCUCUACCGCUGUGCCACCUGGGAAGCCAACUGGAUCUUCUCUCAAGUAUGUUUAAUCCAACUCAGAGGGUUGGAAAGUAACUCCAGGUGAGUUCAUGGAUCUACGGAGCCUACUACUUGAUCUACAAAUUUCUGAGAGAAGUAUACUGAAAUCUCUCAUUAUGGACUGUGAAUUUUCCUAUUUCCCUUUGUAGCUCUGUCAAAAUUUGAUUUAUAUACUUUGAAGUUGUUAGAUAUAUAAAGUAUGAGUGGUGACUGCAUCUCAGGGGAAUUGAAUUUUUAUCAUUGCAAUAAAUUAUUAAGUAAUUUGAAAUAAAUAUAUUAAUAACAAUAACUUUCCUUUGGUUUAUAUUGCCUGAUGUGUAUUUUCCAUCAUUUUUUUCUGGCUUUCCUUAUUUUUAUGUAUGUCAUGUAAAAAUUACAAUUGGAAAGUAUAAUUGGAUUUCCUUUUGUUUUUUUAACUUUUUAAAUUUUUUGCUGUGCUGGGUCUUAAUCGUGGCACUCGGGUUCUUCAUUGCCAUGUGUGGGCUUAGUUGCCCCUGAAGCGUGUGGGAUCUUAGUUCCCAGGACAGGGACUGACCUUGUGUCCCCUGCAUUGGAAGGCAGAUUCUAAACCACUGGACCACAGAGAAGUCCCCCUAGUGGAAUUUGUCUUUAAAAUCCAGUGUGACUCAAAAGAGUUAUAUAUGGGUUCAUCUCUACUUUCUAUCUGUCCCACAGUGUUCUCUUCCUUUUCUUUUUCCUUGACCUCUUUUUUGUUUUGAACUUUUUCUUCUUUCUUUAAUCCAUUUUUCUCUAUUAAUCUGAAAGUUAUAUCCUUCAAUUUUGGCUUUCCAGGUGGCUUGGUGGUAAAGAAUCUGCCUGCCAAUGAAGGAGAUGUGGGUUCAAUCCCUGGGUCAGAAAGAUCCCCUGGAGAAGAAAAUGGCAACCCAUUCUAGUAUUCUUGC
Long non-coding RNA from Bubalus bubalis (water buffalo), 2133 nucleotides. RefSeq lists it as uncharacterized. The record is from RefSeq and is a predicted model, not a curated record. The transcript has 3 exons. Lineage: Eukaryota; Metazoa; Chordata; Mammalia; Artiodactyla; Bovidae.